This 3155-nucleotide long non-coding RNA is filed under the name Cyanistes caeruleus (blue tit). RNAcentral's name for it is "lncRNA (ENSCCEG00000008433.1)". Lineage: Eukaryota; Metazoa; Chordata; Aves; Passeriformes; Paridae. The record is from RNAcentral.
AUGCCCUCCCUAGGAUGUACUAUGUACUGUUUCUGGUCUCUCCUUUCCUUACAUGGUUCUGUUCUUCACCAUGUCUCCUUUCCCCAAACUGUCUUUUUUUGUACUUGCUUCUUCUUUCACACUUUUCUGUUAUUGACACUUAGUCAUAUUAAUCUAUGUUUUUUCUUCCCUUGGCAUGUUCCUACUCUUUCUAGUGAGUUAAGUUGCUCUGUUUCUACCCUUGGCACUCCUGGACAAUGGCAAGAUAGAGCCCAGAGCAUGAUACUGCACCAGGAAAAUCUGUGUUUCUCAGAAGAGCCUUGUUCUCCACUGCUGUUUUGACCAGGAUCAGGUUGGUGGUAGCCUGCCUGCUGCAUCCUCCAGAAGUGCUCAGCCUGGGGGCUGCCCUGCCUGAGCAGGGGGCAGAGGGCUGACAGGGAUUUUCUAGCUGUGCCCUGCCCUCUAUGUCACAGUUAACCUCUUGGAGCCUGAAGGAGGUGACCAGAGGCACUGGUGCCAAGAUGCAACUCCCAGGCACUACUGCUGUUGCUAUUUAUAAUUUCCCCUGCCUGUGCCAUGUGGAUAGGAUAAUAGGAUAGCUGUUCUGCUAAGCAAGCUGUAUUUGUUUUUACCACUGAAAUAUCUUGCUUUGUCAUGGUUUCCUUACUUUAAUAAGAAGCUUUUUUUUAUUAUUAAUUAAAUGUCUCACUAAUUUCUAUAAACAAGGAGGGUGAGGCACAUGUGAGAGAAAUUUAAAACAUAUUCAGUGAAAUCCAGUGUCACAGAGAAGAGGUGUAGAGACUGCAAACUGACCGUGACUCACCACUUCAUCAGUCUGAAGAACCACAUCCAGAGAGGGCAGUAUUUGCCAUUUGAUGGCUCCUCCUUUGUGCACUGUUGGUGGCCUGAUCCAGAGGUUACUGGCUCCUUAUACUGACUUCUGUGGGAAUCUUCAUGUGCUUUUUUGUCCCUUUGCUGGACCAAGGUUGGAGUGCUUUGUGUGCUAAAUGACAGAACCUGUCAGGUUGACCUGUCAUUAGUUUCUCUGACAGCAACAAGGUUUGAAACAUUUCUCUGAAAUCCAGUAACAAUCCAGAAGGGAACGAGAUCCUAUCUGCAAGAGCUUGCCUGGAGAGCUGAAUGGAAAAUUAUAGCCCUAUAACACUAUUUACAGAAGACUAGUGCAAGAACUUUUUGGCUAAUUAACACUGCCUACCUUGACUUUUGAAAAGCAGAACUGUAAUUUACAGAGGGGCUUGAUCCGGAAGCUGGGAUCUCAAAAAUUGCGUAUGUUCCUGUAAACAUCUGAUUCAUGUCCAAAAUUUUCUGCUAGUUUCCACUUCACUGUAUCUCAGGACUGAAUGUGGGAAGAUGGGCUCUGCUUCCCCUGAAGUUCAAGCUGUGUGGGUCUGGUCACCUCUCCUAUUUCACCUGUACAGCUAUUAAUCCAGCCUGAGUCCAACCUGUAUUUACUUGAUAGGCUGAAUUCAAGCUGAUGGUUACAAGCCUGUAUCCUGAGAGGACCUUUCUCCCAGCAGUGGCAGAAUCCUCCUUGCAGACCUAGGCAGCUUGUCGCCCCAAAACAAUAUGGGGUGGAAAGCCACAUUUAGGGUGUGUAACAAAAAAGGAAAUUUAAGAAAGCUGUCUCUCCUAACUUGUUGCCCUGUGAUGUCUCGCAUGCAGGUGACCACAGCAAUCCAGAGGAGCUUAUUUUUUUGUGCAAAAAGCUGACUGCUCCUUUCCUGAGUUCUCCUUCAGCCUCCACUUUUUAAACAGUUGAUUUUCAUCCCCUUUCUGUGAGUAACAAAUUAACGGCGCACAGAUCUCACUGCGUUUACUGGUUCUCUGGCUUCCUUCCUGUUGCUUCACACCCUUUAAAGGUUUUAGAAGAAGGUAACAGCAGAACAGGAAGGGUUGUCCUUAAAUGCUGAUCUCCCUUUGCUGAUCUCCAAAUGGCCGUGUCCUGCAACCUUCAUGGAGGAAAGGAAGGAUGUCACUAGGCUUUUAAAUUCACUUCAUUUUCCUGGCAGCACUGCCCCUCUGCCCAGGGGAAGUUACAUCUCUUGGGUCUCCUACCAUCCACUUUCUUGUGGCACAGGGCAGGAGACUGCUCUUUUCUCUGUGUUAAAAUGUGCAAAAUGAUUACUCUUGAGGACAGCUUCUCCUCUAAACCAUGUGGUGCCAUGAAGGAAUGUUCAAGAUUGCUCCCAGUUGGAUAGGAAUAACUGAAUCAAAAAACCUCAACCUACUUCCACCAGUCCAUCCCCUCAGACAUGUUCCCCAGGCAUGUCCCCAGAGCACAGCCCCUCUCUCUGCAGGCUGCCAGGUGAUGCUGCUGCUUGCAGGGCAUCCUGCCCCUGGGCUGCAGUUGGGCUGGGUGCAGGCAGAGGAGAGGCUAAUGUUGACAUUACCACCUGCUGUGGUCCACCACUGCAUGUCUCCUGUACCACCACACUGCUGGGGAUGAGAGGGAAUGAGGUGUGUGGGAACAGACAGCCUGUCCUGCAGGUACUGUGCUGUGAGUGCUGGGGAAUCACUGUGUUCAUGCUUGUAACUCCACCAUCAGCUUGUGACCAGUGACUAAAUAACCUCAGAGUCAAUUUUUUACUAUUCCAGCACAUGAGCUCCUUUUUUAGCAAGACAAUGUGGCCCCUGGGAGGCUCCAGCACUGAUGAAGCAGCUGUCUUGCUGGAUUUCCCCUCCUGCUGCUGAUGAAAACCACUGCUUCCUUCCACAACCCCCUCCAGCCCAACCCUGUCCUGUUCCCUGGGGUAGCCAGAUGCCUGCUGAUCUCCCCAGUGCUACCUCCAGCCCCUGCUAAAAAUACCAAGUCCCCCACACCAUUUUUUGCUCCUGAUCUCUUGCAUCCCUAGGUGAAGGACAAAGGAAAAAACUGGUAUAUGUGAAAUGCUCUGAGGGAAGUCUCGGUGUGGCACAAGGAGAAGAGGGUUUCAGGGCUCCUGACAGCAGCUGGGCAUCACACCUGAGCAGCACUUGGGUACGUUGCUGUUGGUCUUGCUCCAAGCAGAGGUGCUGGAGUGAUGGCCAGGCACAUGGCAACUUCCAUCUCUCUUACAUAAUUCCUUUUUGUGCUUGGUAAUGUACCUGGCUAUGUUCCUAUGUUCAAAAGGAUGCUGGUGGCUUUCUGAAGGCAAAUAAAUACAUGUGCUCCAUCA